GGCGAACGGGUGAGUAACACGUGAGUAACCUGCCCCUGACUCUGGGAUAAGCGUUGGAAACGACGUCUAAUACUGGAUAUGACUGCCGGCCGCAUGGUCUGGUGGUGGAAAGAUUUUUUGGUUGGGGAUGGACUCGCGGCCUAUCAGCUUGUUGGUGAGGUAAUGGCUCACCAAGGCGACGACGGGUAGCCGGCCUGAGAGGGUGACCGGCCACACUGGGACUGAGACACGGCCCAGACUCCUACGGGAGGCAGCAGUGGGGAAUAUUGCACAAUGGGCGAAAGCCUGAUGCAGCAACGCCGCGUGAGGGAUGACGGCCUUCGGGUUGUAAACCUCUUUUAGUAGGGAAGAAGCGUAAGUGACGGUACCUGCAGAAAAAGCACCGGCUAACUACGUGCCAGCAGCCGCGGUAAUACGUAGGGUGCAAGCGUUGUCCGGAAUUAUUGGGCGUAAAGAGCUCGUAGGCGGUUUGUCGCGUCUGCUGUGAAAUCCCGAGGCUCAACCUCGGGCUUGCAGUGGGUACGGGCAGACUAGAGUGCGGUAGGGGAGAUUGGAAUUCCUGGUGUAGCGGUGGAAUGCGCAGAUAUCAGGAGGAACACCGAUGGCGAAGGCAGAUCUCUGGGCCGUAACUGACGCUGAGGAGCGAAAGCGUGGGGAGCGAACAGGAUUAGAUACCCUGGUAGUCCACGCCGUAAACGUUGGGCGCUAGAUGUAGGGACCUUUCCACGGUUUCUGUGUCGUAGCUAACGCAUUAAGCGCCCCGCCUGGGGAGUACGGCCGCAAGGCUAAAACUCAAAGGAAUUGACGGGGGCCCGCACAAGCGGCGGAGCAUGCGGAUUAAUUCGAUGCAACGCGAAGAACCUUACCAAGGCUUGACAUACACCGGAAACGGCCAGAGAUGGUUGCCCCCUUGUGGUCGGUGUACAGGUGGUGCAUGGUUGUCGUCAGCUCGUGUCGUGAGAUGUUGGGUUAAGUCCCGCAACGAGCGCAACCCUCGUUCUAUGUUGCCAGCGCGUUAUGGCGGGGACUCAUAGGAGACUGCCGGGGUCAACUCGGAGGAAGGUGGGGAUGACGUCAAAUCAUCAUGCCCCUUAUGUCUUGGGCUUCACGCAUGCUACAAUGGCCGGUACAAAGGGCUGCGAUACCGUAAGGUGGAGCGAAUCCCAAAAAGCCGGUCUCAGUUCGGAUUGAGGUCUGCAACUCGACCUCAUGAAGUCGGAGUCGCUAGUAAUCGCAGAUCAGCAACGCUGCGGUGAAUACGUUCCCGGGCCUUGUACACACCGCCCGUCAAGUCAUG
RNAcentral lists this ribosomal RNA (1297 nucleotides) under Curtobacterium sp. F18. RNAcentral's name for it is "bacterial SSU rRNA". It matches the Rfam family "Bacterial small subunit ribosomal RNA", at positions 97 to 1406 of the family's 1533-position model. Lineage: Bacteria; Bacillati; Actinomycetota; Actinomycetes; Micrococcales; Microbacteriaceae. The record is from RNAcentral.